Molecule: ribosomal RNA, 472 nt
Filed under: uncultured Pelotomaculum sp.
Lineage: Bacteria; Bacillati; Bacillota; Clostridia; Eubacteriales; Desulfotomaculaceae
Description: bacterial SSU rRNA
Rfam family: Bacterial small subunit ribosomal RNA
Source: RNAcentral
GACGGGGCCCGCACAAGCGGUGGAGCAUGUGGUUUAAUUCGACGCAACGCGAAGAACCUUACCAGGGCUUGACAUCCCCUGACCGCGUAUGAAAGUACGUUUUCACCCUCGGGUGACAGGGAGACAGGUGGUGCAUGGUUGUCGUCAGCUCGUGUCGUGAGAUGUUGGGUUAAGUCCCGCAACGAGCGCAACCCCUACGUUUAGUUGCUAACGCGUGAAGGCGAGCACUCUAGACGAACUGCCGUUGACAAAACGGAGGAAGGUGGGGAUGACGUCAAAUCAUCAUGCCCCUUAUGUUCUGGGCUACACACGUGCUACAAUGGCCGGUACAGACGGACGCGAAGCCGCGAGGCGGAGCAAAUCCGAAAAAGCCGGUCUCAGUCCGGAUUGGAGUCUGCAACUCGACUCCAUGAAGUUGGAAUCGCUAGUAAUCGCGGAUCAGCACGCCGCGGUGAAUACGUUCCCGGGCCUU